Molecule: ribosomal RNA, 484 nt
Filed under: uncultured bacterium
Lineage: Bacteria
Description: partial 16S ribosomal RNA
Rfam family: Bacterial small subunit ribosomal RNA
Source: RNAcentral
GACGAACGCUGGCGGCGUGCUUAACACAUGCAAGUCGAACGAUGAACCCGGAGCUUGCUCCGGUGGAUUAGUGGCGAACGGGUGAGUAACACGUGAGUAACCUGCCCUUGACUCUGGGAUAACUGCGGGAAACUGUAGCUAAUACCGGAUACGACCCUCGGCGGCAUCGCCAGGGGGUGGAAAGAAUUUCGGUCAAGGAUGGACUCGCAGCCUAUCAGCUAGUUGGUGAGGUAACGGCUCACCAAGGCGACGACGGGUAGCCGGCCUGAGAGGGUGACCGGCCACACUGGGACUGAGACACGGCCCAGACCCCUACGGGAGGCAGCAGUGGGGAAUAUUGCACAAUGGGCGCAAGCCUGAUGCAGCAACGCCGCGUGAGGGAUGACGGCCUUCGGGUUGUAAACCUCUUUUAGUAGGGAAGGAGCGAAAGUGACGGUACCUGCAGAAAAAGCACCGGCUAACUACGUGCCAGCCGCCGCGGUAA